Oncorhynchus keta (chum salmon) is the source of this 609-nucleotide long non-coding RNA. RefSeq lists it as uncharacterized. The transcript has 3 exons. The record is from RefSeq and is a predicted model, not a curated record. Lineage: Eukaryota; Metazoa; Chordata; Actinopteri; Salmoniformes; Salmonidae.
GUGACUUCUCAGUCAUGUUGACACUGGUCUACUACCAGGUCAUGUGUCUUCUCAGUCAUGUUGACACUGGUCCACUACCAGGUCAUGUGUCUUCUCAGUCAUGUUGACACUGGUCUACUACUAGGUCAUGUGUCUUCUCAGUCAUGUUGACACUGGUCUACUACCAGGUCAUGUGUCUUCUCAGUCAUGUUGACACUGGUCUACUACCAUGUCAUGUGUCUUCUCAGUCAUGUUGACACUGGUCUAAUACCAGGUCAUGUGUCUUCUCAGUCAUGUUGACACUGGUCUACUACCAGGUCAUGUGUCUUCUCAGUCAUGUUGACACUGGUCUACUACCAGGUCAUGUGUCUUCUCAGUCAUGUUGACACUGGUCUACUACCAGGUCAUGUGUCUUCUCAGUCAUGUUGACACUGGUCCACUACCAUGUCAGAUACAACAUGUAGAAGACUAAUACUCUGACAACAUACCAUCUGUCCUCACCAGAUACAACACAGUCAAAAACACACAAAUUCUGCUCAUACCUUCAACAGUACAAUGCAAAUAAAUGGACGUCUCAGAACCGUUGGAAACACUACGUGAAGACUCAGUUGGAGAAGAGAAACUCUACAU